Molecule: ribosomal RNA, 253 nt
Filed under: uncultured bacterium
Lineage: Bacteria
Description: partial 16S ribosomal RNA
Rfam family: Bacterial small subunit ribosomal RNA
Source: RNAcentral
UACGAAUGGGGCAAGCGUUGUUCGGAAUCACUGGGCUUAAAGUGUGCGCAGGCGGCCAUGCAAGUCAGAAGUGAAAUCCCUGGGCUCAACCCAGGAAUUGCUUUUGAAACUGCACGGCUAGAAUCCGGUAGAGGUUGGGAGAAUUCCAAGUGUAGAGGUGAAAUUCGCAGAUAUUUGGAGGAAUACCAGUGGCGUAGGCGCCCAACUGGACCGGUAUUGACGCUCAUGCACGAAAGCGUGGGGAGCAAACAGG